AGUAACGGCGAGUGAAGCGGCAAAAGCUCAAAUUUGAAAUCUGGCGUCUUCGACGUCCGAGUUGUAAUUUGAAGAAGGCAACUUUGUAGCUGGUCCUUGUCUAUGUUCCUUGGAACAGGACGUCAUAGAGGGUGAGAAUCCCGUGUGGCGAGGAUCCCAGUUAUUUGUAAAGUGCUUUCGACGAGUCGAGUUGUUUGGGAAUGCAGCUCUAAGUGGGUGGUAAAUUCCAUCUAAAGCUAAAUAUUGGCGAGAGACCGAUAGCGAACAAGUACAGUGAUGGAAAGAUGAAAAGAACUUUGAAAAGAGAGUGAAAAAGUACGUGAAAUUGUUGAAAGGGAAGGGCAUUUGAUCAGACAUGGCGUUUGCUUCGGCUUUCGCUGGGCCAGCAUCAGUUUUAGCGGUUGGAUAAAUCCUCGGGAAUGUGGCUCUGCUUCGGUAGAGUGUUAUAGCCCGUGGGAAUACAGCCAGCUGGGACUGAGGAUUGCGACUUUUGUCAAGGAUGCUGGCGUAAUGGUUAAAUGCCGCCCGUCUUGAAACACGGACCAAGGAGUCUAACGUCUAUGCGAGUGUUUGGGUGUAAAACCCGUACGCGUAAUGAAAGUGAACGUAGGUGAGGGCCCGCAAGGGUGCAUCAUCGACCGAUCCUGAUGUCUUCGGAUGGAUUUGAGUAAGAGCAUAGCUGUUGGGACCCGAAAGAUGGUGAACUAUGCCUGAAUAGGGUGAAGCCAGAGGAAACUCUGGUGGAGGCUCGUAGCGGUUCUGACGUGCAAAUCGAUCGUCGAAUUUGGGUAUAGGGGCGAAAGACUAAUCG
RNAcentral lists this ribosomal RNA (811 nucleotides) under Kluyveromyces lactis. Its description in RNAcentral is "LSU rRNA". It matches the Rfam family "Eukaryotic large subunit ribosomal RNA", at positions 82 to 937 of the family's 3401-position model. Lineage: Eukaryota; Fungi; Ascomycota; Saccharomycetes; Saccharomycetales; Saccharomycetaceae. The record is from RNAcentral.